GCAGAUGUGGGCUCUGUAGAUAAGGACUGGCAGGAAAGUUGUUUACUGAAACUAAAACAGGGAGGCACAAAGGAUAAGGAAGUUAGUUUGGCUUUGGAAGUAGGGAACAAAGAACAAGGACACUGAACAAGCUAAAUCUUUGAAGAGGAACUUCUUUUGUAUCUGACAAAGGUCUUCAAGGAAGAAGGGAGAGAGUGACCUUUCUAGGUUUUAUGGUUGAUGCUGGUGGAGAGGAGUUCUAGUUUCUAAGAUUUACCUUGAGGAAGAAGAACUGUAGUUUCUGUGGCUUGCAGACAAGCAAAGCAAAGCUGAUAAGCAUCAUUAGCAUCCAUUUUAAAUUUAAGCAAACUGAACUCCAAGAGGUUAAGAAACUUGCUCCAAGUGACACAGCUGGUGGCAGACGUGAUGUUCAGUGAUGUGUGUUACUUAUCUGAAACUUGAAGCUCCUUUCAAGGUUCAAGCUCACCAGUUAAUAGAAGAUAAUCUGUAUGGAGCAUAAAUUUCAAGGAGAUGUCUACAAUAAAUCUUUCGUGAGCCUUCCAUUUGCC
Molecule: long non-coding RNA, 548 nt
Filed under: Homo sapiens (human)
Lineage: Eukaryota; Metazoa; Chordata; Mammalia; Primates; Hominidae
Description: HSALNT0386489
Source: RNAcentral